AUGCCAGUCUCGCACCGCGACUUGCAGCUUGACGCCCAGCCCUCCGCCGCCCUACUAGACGGGGAUGUCCCGAGACGGGUGUGGGUGCCGGGGCCGGUGAUCGUCGGCGCGGGGCCGUCCGGGCUGGCGACGGCGGCCUGCCUCAAGGCUCGCGGGGUGCCGUCGCUGGUGCUGGAGCGGGACGCGUGCGUCGCGGCGUCAUGGCGGCACCGCACCUACGAGCGGAUGCGGCUUCACCUGCCGCGGGAAUUCUGCGAGCUCCCCCAUGCGCCUUUCCCGCCGGGCACGCCUCCGUAUCCAACAAGGGACCAGUUCAUCGCCUACCUAGACGGCUACGCGCGAGCCUUCGCCGUGGAACCCCUCCUCGGCGCGCGCGUCCGGGCUGCCGCCUACGACGCCGGCAUCGGCUUCUGGAGGGUCACCGUCGAAGUCUCCUGCGCCGCCGCCGGCAAAGACUCUAUGACAACGACGGCGACGGAGUUCAUGUCGCGCUGGCUCGUAGUGGCCACCGGCGAGAACGCGGAGCCUGUGUGGCCUGACGGUGUGGAGGGAAUGGACGUCUACCGCGGCACGGUGAUGCACACGAGCACCUACAAGAGAGGGGACGAGUUCACGGGAAAGAAGGUGCUCGUUGUUGGCUGCGGCAACUCUGGCAUGGAGGUCAGCCUCGACCUCUGCGACAAUGGCGCAAAGGCAUCCAUGGUUGUCAGGGACAAGCUUCAUGUGUUGCCUAGGGAUAUACUAGGCAUCUCAACAUUUGGCCUCUCAGUAUUCCUUCUCAAGUGGUUGCCCAUGAAAUGGGUUGAUGCCUUGUUCCUCUUCUUCUCGAGGUUGAUACUUGGAGACACUGAAAAAUACGGGCUCCAACGACCUAAGAUUGGCCCGCUCCAAAUCAAGAAAUCAACCGGGAAAACACCAGUGCUUGACAUUGGAGCUUUGAGAAAGAUCGGGGAUGGCGACAUAAAGGUGGUCCCCGCAAUAAACCGGUUCACCGAGAGCGGUGUUGAAUUUGCCGACGGACGUAAGGAGGACUUCGAUGCUGUCAUCCUCGCCACCGGGUACAAAAGCAACGUGCCAUCAUGGCUCAAGGAGGACGAAUUUUUCAGCCAGAGUGAUGGGUUCCCGAGGAUGGCAUUCCCGCACAGCUGGAGAGGCAAGAACGGCCUCUAUGCCACGGGCUUCACAAGGAGGGGUCUCAUGGGUUCCUCCUAUGACGCCUCCAGAAUCGCCGCUGACAUCGCCAACCAGUGGACUGAGGCCCUCGCCAGGAAUAUCACUGCUCACAAUAAUGCUUGA
Molecule: ribosomal RNA, 1296 nt
Filed under: Triticum aestivum (bread wheat)
Lineage: Eukaryota; Viridiplantae; Streptophyta; Magnoliopsida; Poales; Poaceae
Description: partial small subunit ribosomal RNA
Source: RNAcentral